Molecule: long non-coding RNA, 3777 nt
Organism: Strigops habroptila (Kakapo)
Lineage: Eukaryota; Metazoa; Chordata; Aves; Psittaciformes; Psittacidae
Exons: 2
Source: RefSeq, a predicted model, not a curated record
AUUUGCUAUUAUUUGUGCUUUGUGGACCAGGGUGACAUGAGUGAAAACCUGGUAGCUUUGCUUUCUCACCUGCCUUGCUCCCAUUGGUAUGCUGCAGUGCAAUAAUAUCCAGGGCUGAGUCACUUGGAGAAUACCAUUUCGGGCUGAAAUAAUGGUGUCAGUGUAAAAUUUGGGGUCAAUAUGCAGGACUUUCAAACUGACAGCACAAAUGAUGUGCUGUUCUUCAUAUCCUCAAGAAAUGAGAUAAUUAAAUAAUCCUUACUGUCCAUUCAUAAUCUACUGGGUGACAAAAUGAACCCCACAAUAUUUAACAAUGCAGAGGAGAAUGAGAGCCCUACACCACCAGCCACUGUGUUUGUCUAAAUCUUAACACAAACAUCACAACUCCAGUUGAGGAAGCAUCCCACCUGUCAUUCAGGUUGGACCCUGAGAUGCUUCUCUACAGAGUGUGUGAAUCAUACCGCACUUGUUCAAUUUUACUGUAAAAUCAUUUGGUGAUUACAGAGGGCUGGUUGGAGACAACGGAACAAACACCUGAGUCAUCCACAUUGCAAGAGCUGGGAGUUAGAGGGAGAUUUUGAUAUCCCGGAGGUGAGGUACUUAUCCCAGGGAAAGGUAGUUAGUAGGACACGGGAUGCCCCAGAAAUCUUCAGGAGGUUUCAAGGAAAUUUUUCUCAUACAAACAUGUAGAAAGCAAUUUUGAGUGCACUCAUCUAUGAUUUAUUUAUUUUCAUCAACAGACUAGAAGUGGCUGACAACACAAAGAUAGAAGAUUACUUUAAUAAAAAUGAGUGUAAAAUGUCAGAGCUCAUGAAGGAAGUAAAGAAAAUGGACAAAUGAAUAAAAUUAAUGUAUCUUUUAAAAGAGAGAAAGAUCAAGCAACUUCUAUUAAAAGAAAAAACAGCUAAACACAAACCCCCAAAGUGCUUAAGGCACAUGUCCAAACUUUCCCAAGGUCAAGAAAGGACAGGAGGAUUAAUCAAAAUCAUGAGCUCCUUCACGACCUGACCUCCAGAAAGAAGUGUAGAAAAGCCUGGAUCUGUAUAAAAGAAUUGCAAACAUCCUGGCAUAAAACCAGAAAAGCUAAGGAGUAAAUAUGAUACGUUAAGCAUGAUGUGAAAAUCAAGAGCUAAUCUAAGUAUAUGGAUAUUGGAAGAGAGACAAAUAAUGUUAGUCUGUUCUUAAUGGGGAACUGACUAACAGACUCUUUAUUCCUUAAGGUACCAGAUAACUUGUGCCCAGCAAGGAGGAAAGAAACUGCUAAGUUGCACUACUCAUCAACAAGUCACAUCAAUCUCCUCCAAGGAUAGGAUAACAGGCUGGGUAGCUGUGAAAGAUGCAGUAUACGUCAGGUGUCUCCAUUAAGGGAGGCUUCUAACAUAAUUUUAUAUAACACUUUUAUUGUAACAGGAGGAGAAACUCUGGUCUGGAUGAAACUACUGUAAGUUUGGUGCGCAGCUGGUUGAGAAACUGUGCUAAUUGUUUGAAAGAUUAUAUAGAACAUAAGCAGGGCUCCACACAGGCAAGCCUGAGGUCCUCUGAUACUUGGUAUUUUCCACAAUGACAUGCAAGGCAAAAGACAGUGUUUACUCACUGCAUUUGUAGUUCAUUCCGGAGUGGAAGGACUACCAUAAGUCAAGAUGAGAGUUCAAGACAAUCUUGUGAAACUGGAACAGUGGUCCAGCAUAAAUAGGAGGCAAUGCAGUAAACACAAAAACAAAAUUUCACCCUUGUUCACACAACACACAACCAAGGAAAUUUGUAAAAUAUGUAUUGAAAGCAAGAAGUCUUCUCCAUUUUCACAAGGAUGAACAGCUAGGACAUGAAGUAAUGGGAUACCGUUGCUCUGAGGGACUUUCAGGUUAGAUAUUAGGAAACACUUAUAAACAUUGUAAGGCUAGUUAAGGAGCUCCUAGUUAAGGAGCAGAUUAAGCUGUGUGGGGGAGAUGUGGAAUCUCAUUGUGAAUCUGUAGGAACAGGUUAGACAGCAUCUGUUAGUACCAGUCUACCUCUCCUUGCUCUCAGAGGGUUAGUGCCAAGAAGUGCUCCCCCAUUCUGACUGUAAUGUUGCAGUUAUCAGGGACUGAGCUGAGGUGAGUAGCAUGAGCCAUAUACAGAUGGAAAAUGAAGGGAUGCAAGGGUCUACCAAGAGUCAAAGACUUCAUUUAUUACUGAUACUUUAGUUGUUGCUAAUUUUAGCCUCUUAGCCACAUCCAUGUACAUCUUUGCCUUAGUACCAUGGCUGUUCUGGUGGGUACAGAUUAUCCCUUGCUUUGCCCUCAAAUGGUUGCCAGUUACAGCUGGAGAGCACAGCUGUAGUGAUCUACCUAAUGUUAACGGCUUACCAUUUUUUAAAUAAUGAUAGUUACAACUGUUGUUAUCACUAAGGCCUUUGGCAGGAAUUGCACAGAAAUUCCCAAAAUGCUGGGGUGUUUGUCUAAUGUGGGUUAAUGACUAAUGCAAGCAAGGUUUUAUGAGCUGCUUGUGCUUUUAUGAAAUCACCAUGGGUUUGUAACCUGUGUAUACGGUUGUCUUUUUUGCAGUUAUACCAAAUGCAUGCAAGGUCAACUCGAGAACUGUGAGCUGUUCUGCAAAACUGAAGAUGAAGGAGUCAUAUGUUCCUGUGCUGCUGGCUAUGCCCUGGGCAAUGACAACAAAACCUGCACUCCUAUAGCUACAAUGCCACACUUAAAGUUCAUUCCUGGGGCACACAUUACAUCUUGGCCACAUUUGGGAAGUGCUGGUACCUAUCUGUAACUCUAAAGGCUGCUUUUGACUGCAAAACCCAUGUUCCAGCAAGUUUGAAAAAUUCCUUGUGAUGAAGAAGCCCUGACCCGACCUCAGCAGUGCUAGUGCAAAGCCAACACCCGGGAGCUUCCACCCACAGCACAGACUGUAACUAGGUGGUGGAAGUAGCUUCUGCCAUAAACCUGAGUCCCAAGUCAUGGGAGACAUGAACUGUGGAUUUGUGUAACUGCUACACUACUGGAUUGCUUCUGGAAGUUGACUUCCGCAUUUAUGACAGAUGACAUGAUGUGUCAUCUUGGUAUUUGUCUUGAGUGACAAUUGCAAUUCUCUGUGCAAUUAAGCAGCUGGGAUAAGUGUCCCUGAAGACGGAAUUUGUUCUUAUCUGUUAAUGAACAUCUGAGUAGGUUGACGAUGUUGCUUCAUGCUUGGCAAUGCAAACUGAGAGGAAAGGAAGGAGAACCUCAGGUGACUGAUUCCUCUGAACACACGUUAAGCUCAAGACGGCAAUCAAAGUUCCUUGAAAGUUUCCAUGCCUUUUGUAAUUGGUUAUUAUACCCAUUUUGAGGGGUUUUAGAGGGCUGCCAAAAUGCCAAGCAAGUAGGAAAUCAGGACAAUGCUGUCAAUGAAACCUUUAAUAUAAAGUUUUUUGCUUCAUUACAAUAUUCCCAAUGGCACUUCUUACAACAUACAACCACAGAAGAGAAGGAUCUUGCCCCUUUCAUUUGUAGAGCAACAUAGUCAAACAGACUUAAACAGGAGAUAGGUAUUUAUUGUCUUUUAAAACUUAACAUUCUGCACAGAAAAAUUUAUGAGUUUAUAUAUCUUUAGUCUCUCAGUUUGUAUGAAGAAAUCUCUUUGGGAAUUAAGUGCACAGACAAUUGGAGUUUAGGCAAACAAUUUUUGCAUUACUGAGUACAGGCUGAGUACAAUUUUUAUAACUCAGAAACCCAUUUUUUAGUGCCUAGAACUUGUGAUAAACUGCUUUUUCAUAAAUGACAGUAAUACAUAAUAAAUUUGGGGUUUCAAGUA